RNAcentral lists this long non-coding RNA (7413 nucleotides) under Panax ginseng (ginseng). RNAcentral describes it as "long non-coding RNA (PGIN_LNC004816)". The record is from RNAcentral. Lineage: Eukaryota; Viridiplantae; Streptophyta; Magnoliopsida; Apiales; Araliaceae.
GAAAUUCGUAUAAUAACUUUAUAACAAAAGUCGUAUUUCACAAAGCAUCACGAGCUAAUUCACAUAAAUUAUAAAUGGGUCUUUUCAGAAGAGCAUAUCGAAGACUUUCAGACAGGAAACAGAAGUAAGGGAAGACCUUGACUGCAGCUAUUGAGUUUGUAGCUCUUUAAUAUAAGCCUACCUUCUGUGUAUACUCCUUGAGUACACCAGAUGGAAAGAAAUAACAUUACAUUAUUCAUCUACAACUUGAUCCGAUACACUACGUUCGUACAACAGAUCAUAUAGCCAGAUCAGGCCGAGGCUACGUAGGCCUUUGGAGAUAGAUAGUGUUCACCUCCUCCUGUUUCAGGAGGCGGAGGUGGGUGCAGUGAUGACUUAUGUUCAACAACAGUAGUGACAUGAACUUCCAGUGAGACGACAAGAGUUAGUUAAUUAAUGACCCUUUGUAUGGAGGCGGCGGUGCUGGCUUUGCCUUUGCUUCUUUUCCGUAGUUGGUCAUAUAUAGUUAUUAUUUAAAUAUUGCAAGGAUCAAGUGCAUACUCCUUAUCUUACUCACCCGUGACCCGACGACGGUUUCGAUCAUACAACUGUCGUCGCUAAAAGUAUAGACGACGGUUGUAUGACCUAACCGUCGUCGGGUCCGUCGCUAAAAGGGGUGAGCACAGAUGAGUAAGAUAAGGGGUAUGCACUUGAUUCGGACCGUAUCAUAGUCUCCAUCGUAGGUGUAAACUGAUCUUGAAUUUGUCAUCUACUCCUGCAGCAUAAUUAGAGAAUAGAAUAUAAAUUAAUAUUAGCAAGUGGAACUGCAUAUAUAUUGUCUUGUGCUAGCCAUUUCAAUUAUGAGGGAAUAAAUUAAUCAAGAAUAGAUGACUAAAAACAGAAACUAUAUUCUCAUAAACUGAAUUUGUCUAGUUAUAAACAUCUUAACGCAUUCAUGUUGUAUUUUCUAGUUCGCCUUCACAUGAAGUAAAGACGGAGAAAAAACAAAAAGAUUCUGAGAACAAAAAUGGGUAUUGAAUGUGAAAAACUACAAUAGGUCAUCAUCUGUAACCUCACAGGGCAAGAUACGAGAUCACUAGUAUAUAUAUAUAGCUACCUUGAAAACAUGCUAGUCAUGUGACUGACAAUAAAAUACUAAAUUCGUUCCUAAAAGAUUGUCAUUUAAGUUUAAGAUUUUUGCACAUGGAUUAAAAAAGUAUCAUUUAUCAAGUAAAAUUUGUUUGAAAUUUCAGGAAGUUGAAAACUAUUAAUACAAGGGAGAGAAUUUUUUGGGACAAUGAGAAAAGGUAGGAGUAAUAUAGGAAAGUAAAUAAUUUAUUCUCCUCGAAAAUUGUAAACGACAAACAUUUUGGAACAAAUUUUUUCUUCUAAAAUGACAAUCUUUUAGGAACGAAGGGAGUACAUGACAUAGUAACAAUCAUAUCCCAGGAAUAAAUAAGCAAUUAAACUCAUGCUUGGAACAAAUCUAUCUCUUCUUGGUGGGUAGAGGUUGUGUAUAUCUUUUAGCGAACAUUUGGGUCUUUUUGGUUUUCGAAUAUUUAAAUCUCUCUAAUGAGUAAUAAAUGAGUAAACUAGCUACUUAAAAAUCUUUCAACGUACGGUAGAAAAUAUUUCACUUGUAAAGAUGUCGAUGCUACCCGGCAAAUAAUUUCUUACGAGUUCCUAAGAAAACAAAGAGAGAUGAGAGAAAGAAAGCUCUCAUUGUGAGAGUCAUCAUCAUUAUUCUACACAUGUAAGGCAGGAGGAGAAGAGUGGUCUACAUGAGUGUAUUUAUAGAUAUCAAGAAGUGUUAAAUUAAGUGAAGUACGAACAACCAACCUAGUUAAUAAAACCUUUAAAAACCACACCUUCUCCGAGUGCUGUAAUAACAAUUAGCUGUGGCCCAUGAGCUACCAUUAAAAUAACAAGAAGAAAUAUUGAAAUUGAACCAUUUCACAUCGAAAAGUCAAGAAAUACACUUUCUUCCAGGAUCUAGCAAUAGUGUUCCUUCUUUUUUUUUUUGGGUAUUCAAGAGUCUUGGUACUCCAACUUUUCCUCAAAAUUUAUAAAUCCUAAUUUAAUUAACCUCGUGCACUAUCCCUUCGAUCUUCUACAUAUCUCAGUAUGAUUGAUACUCUCUCCGUCCCAUAUAAUAUAUGACGUUUUAGAGUUGUGCAUAAGAAUUAAGAAAAUGAUUAUAUACCAUUAAAUAUAGUAUUAAUUGUCUAUAAUACCUUUUACUAUAUAUUUAUCUCAUACUCUCUCUCAUCUAUAACAUUUUCCCAUGAGGAGUAAUUUUGAAAAUAUUGUGGUUAAUUCUCCUAGAUUAUAUAAAACGUCAAAUAAUUUGGGGAAAAUGAAAUAAUCUAAAACUUCAUAUAUUAUUAUAUUAAUAAUCUCACCUCGUUCCAAACACUUGUUAAUUAGGACAUCAGUUAUAUACCACUGUACUAGCUUUGUAUAUUGAGUUGGUUUGUUUUUGAAAUUUCAAGCAAGUUUUUUUUUGAAAAUAUGCAUAUUUGUAACUGAAGGUCUUUGCAUAAAAGGAAUACAUGUCGUUUACUAACAAAUAGGAGGCAUUUUCUGAAAAAGUGAGAGCAUGAGGCACGAGUGUUCAGUACACAUACGUAUGUACACCUGAACUUAGACUUCCACAGGAUCCCUUGAAACCUGCUACUGAGGGAGUAAUUUAUUGUUUAAUAUAAUCAGAAAGUAAUUAAGUGACAGCAAAGUUAUUACUAUAGAAAUUACAGUGGUUUGACCCUACCUCGUUGAUCACAUGUUGCAGUAUCCCCAUCAUAAAUGAAAAAAGUCUACAUCCUGGUGAUCUUCUAACAGUGAAUCAACCAACUUAAGAUCACAAUAGGUUGGUUUGCACUCUUUCUUAGAGGACUAUAAUCGAUUAUAAUUCCAGGCAUAUAUGGCAGUAUGAUUUUUUUAAUUGACCUACAAAAUAAGAAUAUGAUGUACAAAUAUUUUAAGUUUGAACUAUACCUUGAGUAACUCUUGAAAGAGGCUGCACAUGCAGUGAGCAACUAAUCAAUCAGCUGCUUAAGCAGAUGACCUGAGAGGCAAACAUUUGACAAGUACAUGUUCAUACAAAAGAAAACCCUCCAUAGCAUUGUUCUUAUUCAUAGUAGUAUGCCAAGCUGUUAUAUUGUUCUUUAAUAAAACCAUUUUUUUCCUGCUUAAUUUUGCAUUGGUUUAGGAGCUUAUAGUGACACUGCUAGCUAAUGACUCGACCAAAUACAUAGAUGAUUUUCUUUCUGAUUGUUAUACACAAUUAAGCUCAAGUAACACCCUGUUGUAAUUAAAUACUGCUUUCAUUGGGAAAGUUAAUUAUGCGAGUUGAUGCUUUGAUUUUUAGUCCUCUAAAAACUCCAAGGUGCAGAUGUUAAAUUCAAAUGAUUGCUCCACUUGUCCAAUGCUUCUUGAUGUCACUUUCAGAGUUUUCCCAGUAGAAAUCACAAGGAAUUUUUAACGACAGUAAUCCUCUCUGGAAGAAGAAAAUAUGCCAUGCAAUGAUGCAGAGGAUAGCCAAAAACAUUGACAUACUUUUCCAUAAAAAGGAACUGGGAACUUCAACAAGGCAUCAAUAACAGAAGCCAGAAAGGGAAUCACCAACAAAUACCUGAGCUUUAUGAAAUUGGCACCUUCUAUUUUAUGCAGAUGGUCUGUCUGCAAACAUUAAGAUAUAUAUAUACAACCCAUUAGGACCCUUCUCCUCCCGGAGAAAACCUAAUAUUACUCUAUCAUUCAAUCAACCUAGACACGCGCGGAAAGAGAUUGUUGUUUUCUGAAGAAAAGGUUAUGUAGGACAAGGCGGAAAGAAGGAAUAAAAGUACUUAUCCCGCAUAGAAUCGGUAGAAGAACACACAAAAGCACAAAACUUUAAUCUCAAAUCAAUAAGCAAAAUAAGUAUUGCUUUGCAUUGAACAAAGAAAUUAAAUCAUGUUUCAAAAGAACAAGAACCAUAUUAUCACAGAUAAUAUGGCUUACUCAGCCUUGUGUUAAUGACCAUGAUUAUUAAACCACUUUGAUUGACAUCAUGAAGCAUGAUGAUACACUAGGGCUAUGUUUGUUUGCAAAAAAAAAAAUGCUUGGGAUUGAACUAUUUGUUUUAAUUUAACACUAUUUCGGACUAUUUUAUCCCAUUAUUCAUAGUCCUAUAAAUAGUCCUAUGGACUAUUUUUUGUCAUUCCUAAGGCUAUUUAUGAGGGAUUAUAUAAUCCCAUGAUGAAUAUGGGAUUAAUAAUCCCCCACAUUUUAAGCUAUCAAAUGACUUUUAUGGAACUAAGAAUCCCACAUUAAGGGACUAAUAGUCCCUCGUCAAAGGAUUAAUAGUUCGAAGUAGUGUUAAAUUAAGACAAAUAGUCCAAUCCCAAGCAUGUUUUUUGCAAACAAACAUGGCCUAGGGGUACAGUCACAGGAUAACGAAAACUUGAUAAACAAGGUCUUGGAAUUCAUAGUUUAUUAAUACAGUAUUUUCUAAUGUUCUGAUUUGAUUUUGAACAAACAUGAUAAGGGAUUGUUUAUAGAUUAUAAAGGGUUCAACCACCAUUUGUUUUAUCAUGUGUUCGAAAGCAAACACGAAUGAUAAGGGAUUGUAUUUAGUUAAAGCAUUAGAGGUUGCCACUUCCUCGUCCUGACUAUGAAGUAAUGGAUUUGAAUUAAUAGGUGGUGUGAGGCUGCGAGCUGUAAGAAGUUGUAUGCAGCAGGACAAAUAGUUCCAGUGAUGAUUCAUAGCGAGUUUUUAAGUCUUUUACAUAUAAAGUGACUGAAAAUACAUUUUUAGCAGUUUGACUUGAUUUUAAGCAUUCAGAUCUAAUUACAUUCUUCAGACAAUCAAAUUCAUAUAAUAUAUCAGGUCGGGGUUCACUAUAAACUAAUCAUGGCUUAUCCAAUAAAAUUACAGUCCAGAUUCAACUCAAGGUAGACAUUUCUCUUAUCAUGCUUUGCUAUCAAUGUAAUCUACAUAACUUUUCAUGGUCUUUUUUUGGUUUACAGAUGUUCACAUUUGAGGCAGUUGAAAUUACCGAAGCACUUUCAAAUGUUUUUGACACAUUCUAACAAUUUCAUUAUAUCCACAGUAUUUAUAUCUUACAAUAUUAAAACAAAAUGCAAUUAUUUAUCUGUUUGUUUAUUCAGGAAGCCAACCAGUGAUUGGCUAGGGAAAUUUUGGUUCCUUACUUUAGUAAUAGAAGUUAGGUAUAUGAGAAAGACAUACAACUUUUUGUAAUUAUGAGGUGGACAGGUGGAUCAACAGUUUUAAAAUGAUAAAGUGGAAGAAAAAACAACUACUGCAUAAAAUAUAGAAAGAAAAAAUAGACAUAAAGAAACUGUUGGUAGUACCUGAUAGUAGAUAUACUACUAGGUAACCUUGGGAAUCUUAGGACAUCCACAAUAUAAAAUGAUAAACUUCUCUCAAGCCAUUUGGCCAUCUUUCUACUCAAACUAAUUCGAAUAAACAGGAAUCUGCAUUCAGUAGCUGAAGGUACCACAAAUGAAGUAAGUAUUAGGUCUGCUAAGAGCUUCUUGACUUGACAAUGAGAACACUCAUUGUCAUUUCAGACUCUAUAAUAAAAGUUCAGUAUGGAAACAGGUAAAACUAAUUACAAAUGCACACAUGUUUCAGUAGAAGAAAACACAUGUAAAACUAAUAAUCAUAUCUAGUUAUAGAUAGUAGAUGCGAUAACCCCCAGAUUACUAGGGAUAUAUUGGGGUACCCCACAGGGCAUAGAACUACAUGAUCCACUGUUUAUGGCGCUUUUGGACAUCUUUGGAUGAAAAUCGAUUCACAAUUUUGUGCAGGAAGCCACAAUAAAUAAGUACAUUUGGUUUAGACAGUGUUGAAGCUUCAGCAGAUGCACUCGUUUACAUAGAACUUGUGGUUUCAACAACCAUUUGAAGUUACAAAAGUUUUCCUUUAUUUCAGAUUGUACAUUGUUAAGCCUUGUAAUAGAAUAUUAUUCAGUUAGAAAAAUUCAUGAAACCGUGUCGAUUAAUUCUAGAAAACUGUUUUUUAAUAGUACUAAACAGUACCAUAGAGGAUGGUAAUAUUACAUGAGUAUAUACUUGUGCUCCGACAAAUAUUCAUAGCCCAAUAUGCUUCCCUAUAUGUUCUUGAGAUAACAUUUUUCAAAUAUACUUGUACAUAUUUAUAGGCAUAUAAUACCACCAAAUAUGGUAACAGAUAUAGAGGAUGUGUUUGUUGAGGUGUUCUUUUAUGGUGUCACCAGUCAAAUAUUUGAUUGCUAUUUACUCUUCAGGCAGACUGAUAUAUUUUCCCCGCUUUACCUCAAUGCUUACCAUUCUUCCAUAAAGUUAUGUAGAUCUUAUCAUCACGCACUAAAACUAUCUGCAUUGUGACAUAGCCAAUUCCAGAUGAUCCAACAGUGAGCAGCAUCUGCACAAGAAGAAUCAAUCAACCUGCACGGUGAGUUGGUUAAUUGUAAUUAACCUGAAUGCUAACAAUUUUUUUCUGCAUCAUUCCACAAAGAUAUAAUGUAAUAACUAAAAGCAAUUAAAUUUCAAUUGUUCUUUUCUUAUCACCUAUAGUUGUGUUUAACCAAGAAAGCACAACUAAAGCGUUUAUGCCCUAAAGCAAUCUGAUAUUAUAAUCCAACAAGACAAGUUACAAUAACACUAUUUAACCAAAAUUUCACUCACAUUUGAAACCCACCUAGUUAAAUGAUUUUUACAUGGACAAGAGCAUGUGGAUGUGGUAGCUCCAAGAAAACAAACCUAGGGAUUGCUUACACUGUUUUAUGGUUUAAGGUCUACGGGUUUCCUACAGAUUUAAGUCUCUAAUGUCCAUCCGUUCACAUGAAUCACAAAAACUCAUUUGGCACGCAUAAACCUUACAUUGGUUCAAAUGAAAAAAAUUGACUUUUUUAUACAUAGAGAGAGAGAGAGAGAGAGUCUAGUUUUUAAUGGAAAUAUCAACUAAAAUUUAAGCAUUCCAAGAUAAUCUAGCCCGGGACGGACAAACGAAGAUUAAAAAAAAAGAAGAUUAGUUUUCACCACACAUUUCCUUAGAAGAACCCACAAACGACAGGGAAAGCAGGAAAGGUGCAUUAAUCAUAGCAUUCAUAAAUAUAAUCAAAUUUGAAUAUAUAUAUAUAUAUAUAUAUAUAUAUAUAUACGAGACAAGAUAAUGGAAAAACGCAUACCAAAGAUUAAGAAGUCUGAUUCUGGUAGAUGCAAUUUUGUGCACGUUUCCGUGCUUACCAACUAGGCAACUAGAAGAAUGGAUAAAGUGAACUCUUCUUUCUUUCUUUCUUUCUUCAUGUAUGUCAAAUUAUAGGUCACAAUUGAUCAAAUUCAUUACUGAGACUUAAAAUUAAUUUGUCUGAUCUUGAUUCCCGUGUACGGUGUACCUAUAUCCUAUCCAUUCCCUCUGUCCUUUUAUUUCGACUUUCUUUACCCGGAUUU